Molecule: ribosomal RNA, 116 nt
Filed under: Xanthomonas phaseoli pv. dieffenbachiae
Lineage: Bacteria; Pseudomonadati; Pseudomonadota; Gammaproteobacteria; Lysobacterales; Lysobacteraceae
Description: Xanthomonas axonopodis pv. dieffenbachiae partial 16S ribosomal RNA
Rfam family: Bacterial small subunit ribosomal RNA
Source: RNAcentral
GAAGCAGGUAGCUUAACCUUCGGGAGGGCGCUUGCCACGGUGUGGCCGAUGACUGGGGUGAAGUCGUAACAAGGUAGCCGUAUCGGAAGGUGCGGCUGGAUCACCUCCUUUUGAGC